UCGGGGUGUGGCGCAGAUGGGAGCGCGCGUGGUUUGGGACCAUGAGGUCGCAGGUUCGAGCCCUGUCACCCCGACCAU
Molecule: transfer RNA, 78 nt
Filed under: Clostridium botulinum A3 str. Loch Maree
Lineage: Bacteria; Bacillati; Bacillota; Clostridia; Eubacteriales; Clostridiaceae
Description: tRNA-Pro
Rfam family: tRNA
About the family: Transfer RNA (tRNA) molecules are approximately 80 nucleotides in length. Their secondary structure includes four short double-helical elements and three loops (D, anti-codon, and T loops).
Source: RNAcentral